UUCAUUUUAGUAUAUGAUGUACAGGAGUUUUUGAUACUUCUAGAAAUAGUUUAAUUCUAUUAGAUGUAA
Molecule: transfer RNA, 69 nt
Filed under: Byrrhinus sp. BYR01
Lineage: Eukaryota; Metazoa; Arthropoda; Insecta; Coleoptera; Limnichidae
Description: tRNA-Gln
Source: RNAcentral